RNAcentral lists this ribosomal RNA (449 nucleotides) under uncultured bacterium. RNAcentral describes it as "partial 16S ribosomal RNA". It matches the Rfam family "Bacterial small subunit ribosomal RNA", at positions 29 to 523 of the family's 1533-position model. The record is from RNAcentral.
AGCGAACGCUGGCGGCAGGCUUAACACAUGCAAGUCGAACGCAUCCUUCGGGGUGAGUGGCAGACGGGUGAGUAACACGUGGGAACAUACCUUUUGGUUCGGAAUAACUCAUGGAAACGUGAGCUAAUACCGGAUACGCCCUUUUGGGGAAAGAUUUAUUGCCGAAAGAUUGGCCCGCGUCUGAUUAGCUAGUUGGUGAGGUAAUGGCUCACCAAGGCGACGAUCAGUAGCUGGUCUGAGAGGAUGAUCAGCCACACUGGGACUGAGACACGGCCCAGACUCCUACGGGAGGCAGCAGUGGGGAAUAUUGGACAAUGGGCGCAAGCCUGAUCCAGCAAUGCCGCGUGAGUGAUGAAGGCCUUCGGGUCGUAAAGCUCUUUUACCAGGGAUGAUAAUGACGGUACCUGGAGAAUAAGCUCCGGCUAACUCCGUGCCAGCAGCCGCGGUAA